GUAAUAAUCCUGUAGUCGAAAAUGUUGUCUCUCUUGAGUGGAUCCUGAGUACGACGGAGCACGUGAAAUUCCGUCGGAAUCUGGGAGGACCAUCUCCUAAGGCUAAAUACUCUCUAGUGACCGAUAGUGAACCAGUACCGUGAGGGAAAGGUGAAAAGCACCCCGGAAGGGGAGUGAAAUAGAACCUGAAACCGUGUGCUUACAAGUAGUCAGAGCCCGUUAAUGGGUGAUGGCGUGCCUUUUGUAGAAUGAACCGGCGAGUUACGAUUUGAUGCAAGGUUAAGCAGUAAAUGUGGAGCCGUAGCGAAAGCGAGUCUGAAUAGGGCGUUUAGUAUUUGGUCGUAGACCCGAAACCAGGUGAUCUACCCUUGGUCAGGUUGAAGUUCAGGUAACACUGAAUGGAGGACCGAACCGACUUACGUUGAAAAGUGAGCGGAUGAACUGAGGGUAGCGGAGAAAUUCCAAUCGAACCUGGAGAUAGCUGGUUCUCUCCGAAAUAGCUUUAGGGCUAGCCUCAAGUGAUGAUUAUUGGAGGUAGAGCACUGUUUGGACGAGGGGCCCCUCUCGGGUUACCGAAUUCAGACAAACUCCGAAUGCCAAUUAAUUUAACUUGGGAGUCAGAACAUGGGUGAUAAGGUCCGUGUUCGAAAGGGAAACAGCCCAGACCACCAGCUAAGGUCCCAAAAUAUAUGUUAAGUGGAAAAGGAUGUGGCGUUGCCCAGACAACUAGGAUGUUGGCUUAGAAGCAGCCAUCAUUUAAAGAGUGCGUAAUAGCUCACUAGUCGAGUGACACUGCGCCGAAAAUGUACCGGGGCUAAACAUAUUACCGAAGCUGUGGAUUGUCCUUUGGACAAUGGUAGGAGAGCGUUCUAAGGGCGUUGAAGCAUGAUCGUAAGGACAUGUGGAGCGCUUAGAAGUGAGAAUGCCGGUGUGAGUAGCGAAAGACGGGUGAGAAUCCCGUCCACCGAUUGACUAAGGUUUCCAGAGGAAGGCUCGUCCGCUCUGGGUUAGUCGGGUCCUAAGCUGAGGCCGACAGGCGUAGGCGAUGGAUAACAGGUUGAUAUUCCUGUACCACCUAU
This 1079-nucleotide ribosomal RNA is filed under the name Staphylococcus aureus. Its description in RNAcentral is "partial 23S ribosomal RNA". It matches the Rfam family "Bacterial large subunit ribosomal RNA", at positions 364 to 1451 of the family's 2925-position model. Lineage: Bacteria; Bacillati; Bacillota; Bacilli; Caryophanales; Staphylococcaceae. The record is from RNAcentral.